This 481-nucleotide ribosomal RNA is filed under the name uncultured Sphingobacteriales bacterium. Its description in RNAcentral is "bacterial SSU rRNA". It matches the Rfam family "Bacterial small subunit ribosomal RNA", at positions 898 to 1382 of the family's 1533-position model. The record is from RNAcentral. Lineage: Bacteria; Pseudomonadati; Bacteroidota; Sphingobacteriia; Sphingobacteriales.
AACUUAAAGGAAUUGACGGGGCCCGCACAAGCGGAGGAACAUGUGGUUUAAUUCGAUGAUACGCGAGGAACCUUACCUGGGCUUAAAUGGGGAGUGACAGCUGUCGAAAGAUGGUUUUCUUCGGACACUCUUCAAGGUGCUGCAUGGUUGUCGUCAGCUCGUGCCGUGAGGUGUCGGGUUAAGUCCCAUAACGAGCGCAACCCUUACCGUUAGUUACCAUCAGGUUAAGCUGGGGACUCUAGCGGGACUGCCACCGUAAGGUGAGAGGAAGGUGGGGAUGACGUCAAAUCAGCACGGCCCUUAUGUCCAGGGCUACACACGUGUUACAAUGGCCGGUACAAAGGGCAGCUACUUCGCGAGAAGAUGCUAAUCUCGAAAGCCGGUCUCAGUUCGGAUCGAAGUCUGCAACCCGACUUCGUGAAGCUGGAUUCGCUAGUAAUCGCGCAUCAGCCAUGGCGCGGUGAAUACGUUCCCGGGCCUU